This 240-nucleotide unclassified non-coding RNA is filed under the name Hevea brasiliensis (rubber tree). The record is from RNAcentral. Lineage: Eukaryota; Viridiplantae; Streptophyta; Magnoliopsida; Malpighiales; Euphorbiaceae.
GACUAUUGCCUUUCAGUUCCCUUUUGAGAGCAAUUUACAGGAUAAUGUUGCCACCAUGGCUCGUCAAUAUGUCCGUAGUGUGAUUUCCUCUGUACAGAGGGUGGCCAUGGCUAUAUCUCCAUCAGGAUUGUGCCCAUCUGUGGGACCUAAGUUAUCUCCUAGCUCUCCUGAAGCUCUUACCUUAGCUCACUGGAUCUGCCAAAGUUAUAAGUACUAUUUAGGGGCUGAAUUGCUGAGUUC